GAUAAACGCUGGCGGCGUGCCUAAUACAUGCAAGUCGAGCGAACGGACGAGAAGCUUGCUUCUCUGAUGUUAGCGGCGGACGGGUGAGUAACACGUGGAUAACCUACCUAUAAGACUGGGAUAACUUCGGGAAACCGGAGCUAAUACCGGAUAAUAUUUUGAACCGCAUGGUUCAAAAGUGAAAGACGGUCUUGCUGUCACUUAUAGAUGGAUCCGCGCUGCAUUAGCUAGUUGGUAAGGUAACGGCUUACCAAGGCAACGAUGCAUAGCCGACCUGAGAGGGUGAUCGGCCACACUGGAACUGAGACACGGUCCAGACUCCUACGGGAGGCAGCAGUAGGGAAUCUUCCGCAAUGGGCGAAAGCCUGACGGAGCAACGCCGCGUGAGUGAUGAAGGUCUUCGGAUCGUAAAACUCUGUUAUUAGGGAAGAACAUAUGUGUAAGUAACUGUGCACAUCUUGACGGUACCUAAUCAGAAAGCCACGGCUAACUACGUGCCAGCAGCCGCGGUAAUACGUAGGUGGCAAGCGUUAUCCGGAAUUAUUGGGCGUAAAGCGCGCGUAGGCGGUUUUCUAAGUCUGAUGUGAAAGCCCACGGCUCAACCGUGGAGGGUCAUUGGAAACUGGAAAACUUGAGUGCAGAAGAGGAAAGUGGAAUUCCAUGUGUAGCGGUGAAAUGCGCAGAGAUAUGGAGGAACACCAGUGGCGAAGGCGACUUUCUGGUCUGUAACUGACGCUGAUGUGCGAAAGCGUGGGGAUCAAACAGGAUUAGAUACCCUGGUAGUCCACGCCGUAAACGAUGAGUGCUAAGUGUUAGGGGGUUUCCGCCCCUUAGUGCUGCAGCUAACGCAUUAAGCACUCCGCCUGGGGAGUACGACCGCAAGGUUGAAACUCAAAGGAAUUGACGGGGACCCGCACAAGCGGCGGAGCAUGUGGUUUAAUUCGAAGCAACGCGAAGAACCUUACCAAAUCUUGACAUCCUUUGACAACUCUAGAGAUAGAGCCUUCCCCUUCGGGGGACAAAGUGACAGGUGGUGCAUGGUUGUCAUCAGCUCGUGUCGUGAGAUGUUGGGUUAAGUCCCGCAACGAGCGCAACCCUUAAGCUUAGUUGCCAUCAUUAAGUUGGGCACUCUAAGUUGACUGCCGGUGACAAACCGGAGGAAGGUGGGGAUGACGUCAAAUCAUCAUGCCCCUUAUGAUUUGGGCUACACACGUGCUACAAUGGACAAUACAAAGGGCAGCGAAACCGCGAGGUCAAGCAAAUCCCAUAAAGUUGUUCUCAGUUCGGAUUGUAGUCUGCAACUCGACUACAUGAAGCUGGAAUCGCUAGUAAUCGUAGAUCAGCAUGCUACGGUGAAUACGUUCCCGGGUCU
RNAcentral lists this ribosomal RNA (1372 nucleotides) under uncultured bacterium. RNAcentral describes it as "bacterial SSU rRNA". It matches the Rfam family "Bacterial small subunit ribosomal RNA", at positions 28 to 1381 of the family's 1533-position model. The record is from RNAcentral.